CCUACGGGUGGCUGCAGUGAGGAAUAUUGGUCAAUGGCCGAGAGGCUGAACCAGCCAAGUCGCGUGAGGGAAGACGGCCCUACGGGUUGUAAACCUCUUUUGUCGGGGAGCAAAGAGAGUCACGUGUGACUCAUUGAGAGUACCCGAAGAAAAAGCAUCGGCAAACUCCGUGCCAUAGGCCGCGGAAAUACGGCGGAUGCGAGGGUUAUCCGGAUUGAUUGGGUUAAAAGGGUGCGCAGGCGGAGGUGCAAGUCAGCGGUAAAAUUGCGGGGCUCAACCCCGUACUGCCGUUGAAACUGCAUCCCUUGAGUGCGCGAGAAGUAUGCGGAAUGCGCGGUGUAGCGGUGAAAUGCAUAGAUAUCACGCAGAACUCCGAUGGCGAAGGCAGCAUACCGGCGCGCAACUGACGCUCAUGCACGAAAGCGUGGGUAUCGAACAGGAUUAGAUACCCCUGUAGUC
RNAcentral lists this ribosomal RNA (459 nucleotides) under uncultured bacterium. Its description in RNAcentral is "partial 16S ribosomal RNA". It matches the Rfam family "Bacterial small subunit ribosomal RNA", at positions 338 to 795 of the family's 1533-position model. The record is from RNAcentral.